AGAGUUUGAUCCUGGCUCAGGAUGAACGCUAGCGGCAGGCCUAAUACAUGCAAGUCGGACGGGAUUCAGGGAGUAGCUUGCUACGAACUGAUGAGAGUGGCGCACGGGUGCGUAACGCGUGAGCAACCUACCCAUAUCAGGGGGAUAGCCUCUCGAAAGAGAGAUUAACACCGCAUAACAUCAUUUACCGGCAUCGGUUUUUGAUCAAAUAUUUAUAGGAUAUGGAUGGGCUCGCGUGACAUUAGCUAGUUGGAGAGGUAACGGCUCACCAAGGCUACGAUGUCUAGGGGCUCUGAGGGGAGAAUCCCCCACACUGGUACUGAGACACGGACCAGACUCCUACGGGAGGCAGCAGUAAGGAAUAUUGGUCAAUGGAGGCAACUCUGAACCAGCCAUGCCGCGUGCAGGAUGACUGCCCUAUGGGUUGUAAACUGCUUUUGUCAGGGAAUAAACCUUUCUACGUGUAGGAAGCUGAAUGUACCUGAAGAAUAAGGAUCGGCUAACUCCGUGCCAGCAGCCGCGGUAAU
RNAcentral lists this ribosomal RNA (527 nucleotides) under uncultured bacterium. RNAcentral describes it as "bacterial SSU rRNA". It matches the Rfam family "Bacterial small subunit ribosomal RNA", at positions 8 to 524 of the family's 1533-position model. The record is from RNAcentral.